Pelobates cultripes (western spadefoot toad) is the source of this 755-nucleotide non-coding RNA. The record is from the annotation of a GenBank genome assembly. NCBI's taxonomy places the organism in Eukaryota, Metazoa, Chordata, Amphibia, Anura, Pelobatidae.
CUAUAACUUCCCUGGGGGAGUUACUUUUGUUAUCUAAAGCGUUUAAUUCAUUUACAAUAUAGUAGAAUACAUUGUUUUGGUUCACUAAUAUAAUAGAAAACAUUGUUUUAAGGGAUAAGUCAACCACUUUUGUUUCAAGUUAUCACAAGUAAUUUGAUCCUUCGAUCCAUUGUAUAACUUCCUAUAAGUAUGUUCGAGCUGUCUUACAUUCUGUUACAUUGUAUUGUCAUCCACCAAGUUAUAUCUGCUGUAUGUAACCCUGUGUAACAGCCUAAUUUGCCGCGCUACAGAAAUAAACCCAUCUGCACAGGAAAAGCAAGCCAUGUCAAUUAUUUCUAUAAACGUCACCUGAAAUACUAUUCCCAUGACAAUGAAGCUGUGUUGGCACCUUGAAAACAUGUUAUACUAAUAAAAUACCAAGUCUGAAAACAUGUAGAAUGCAUGUGAACUGUAUGUUGGCUGACUAUAAAUGUUUACACUUUAUGUGUGCAGUUAUAGUGAAUCUACAUAAGUGGGAGCCGAGGCAAUAUUUAAUGUCUGCAAGAUAACUUUGUUCUGCAUGUGAACGCAGGUCAAUGUGUGAUCAAUAAUAAUAUGGCAGAUCUGAUUAUCGAAAUGCGUGCUGAGGCAUUUGUGUUAGUGUGACUUAUAAGUUAGAGUAUAGCCGUUUGUUUGGGUUCUCUAAGUUACCCUACAUUUGAUCCUUUAUGUAAGGACUUUUCCAUCUUAGUUUGCUCCUAAGUGGUUCAUACCCU